CUUUAUACCCAGUGCAUCAAUGUCAUCGCAGUCGGGAAUGUCUGCCCUUGAUUUUAUAGGAUCGUUAGAAUAAUAUAAAUGUAUUCUUCUACCGAUUCUAGAAGAAAGGGCGGACAUUCCCGACUGCUAUUACAAUUACGCAGUGGACUUAUUCCAGAAUUUAGUCUUUAGUUGCUUACCUUGAUCUAUCCACAUUUCACACAACGAAAACGAAAACUGAAUCAUUUUGUACCUGUUUUGGCUGGUUUUGUCAUAGCGUAUGAAAUUAAAAGUCAUUUUUAAAGAUAAAAUAAAAUAAAAUAUCUAAAAUAAAAGCUUUUAAGCUCUCUAUAAAUUUUC
Molecule: small RNA, 339 nt
Filed under: Drosophila yakuba
Lineage: Eukaryota; Metazoa; Arthropoda; Insecta; Diptera; Drosophilidae
Description: GE28270
Source: RNAcentral